RNAcentral lists this ribosomal RNA (207 nucleotides) under uncultured bacterium. RNAcentral describes it as "partial 16S ribosomal RNA". It matches the Rfam family "Bacterial small subunit ribosomal RNA", at positions 568 to 774 of the family's 1533-position model. The record is from RNAcentral.
UCCGCAGGCGGGGAUUCAGGUCAGAUGUGAAAGCCCGGGGCUCAACCCCGGAACUGCAUUUGAAACCGGAUCCCUUGAGUACGGGAGAGGGAAGCGGAAUUCCUGGUGUAGAGGUGAAAUUCGUAGAUAUCAGGAGGAACACCAGCGGCGAAAGCGGCUUCCUGGCCCGAUACUGACGCUCAUGGACGAAAGCGUGGGGAGCAAACA